This 253-nucleotide ribosomal RNA is filed under the name uncultured bacterium. Its description in RNAcentral is "partial 16S ribosomal RNA". It matches the Rfam family "Bacterial small subunit ribosomal RNA", at positions 524 to 776 of the family's 1533-position model. The record is from RNAcentral.
UACGAAGGGUGCAAGCGUUACUCGGAAUUACUGGGCGUAAAGCGUGCGUAGGUGGCUCGUUAAGUCUGAUGUGAAAGCCCUGGGCUCAACCUGGGAAUGGCAUUGGAAACUGGCGACCUAGAGUGCGGUAGAGGGUAGUGGAAUUCCCGGUGUAGCAGUGAAAUGCGUAGAGAUCGGGAGGAACAUCCGUGGCGAAGGCGACUACCUGGACCAGCACUGACACUGAGGCACGAAAGCGUGGGGAGCAAACAGG